UACGUAGGGGGCAAGCGUUGUCCGGAAUCAUUGGGCGUAAAGGGCGCGUAGGCGGCUAGUCAAGUCUGAUGUGAAAGUGCGGAGCUUAACUCCGUAAAGCAUUGGAAACUGGUUGGCUUGAGGACAGGAGAGGAAAGUGGAAUUCCACGUGUAGCGGUGAAAUGCGUAGAGAUGUGGAGGAACACCAGUGGCGAAGGCGACUUUCUGGACUGUAACUGACGCUGAGGCGCGAAAGCGUGGGGAUCAAACAGGAUUAGAUACCCUGGUAGUCCACGCCGUAAACGAUGAAUGCUAGGUGUAGAGGGUAUCGACCCCUUCUGUGCCGCAGUUAACACAAUAAGCAUUCCGCCUGGGGAGUACGGCCGCAAGGUUGAA
RNAcentral lists this ribosomal RNA (375 nucleotides) under uncultured bacterium. Its description in RNAcentral is "bacterial SSU rRNA". It matches the Rfam family "Bacterial small subunit ribosomal RNA", at positions 524 to 898 of the family's 1533-position model. The record is from RNAcentral.